AAUGAACGUUGGCGGCGUGGAUUAGGCAUGCAAGUCGAGCGAGAACUAGUAGCAAUACUGGGGAAAGCGGCGAAAGGGAGAGUAAUACGUAGGUACCUACCCUCGGGUCUGGGAUAGCUGCGGGAAACUGCAAUUAAUACCGGAUGACGUCUCUGGACCAAAGGUGUGAUUCCGCCAGGGGAUGGGCCUGCGUCCUAUUAGCUAGUUGGCGGGGUAACGGCCCACCAAGGCUAAGAUGGGUUCGGGGUGUGAGAGCAUGCCCCCGCUCACUGGGACUGAGACACUGCCCAGACACCUACGGGUGGCUGCAGUCGAGGAUCUUCCGCAAUGGGCGCAAGCCUGACGGAGCGACGCCGCGUGCGGGAUGAAGGCCUUCGGGUUGUAAACCGCUGUCAGUGGGGAGCAAAUGCAUCAGGGUUCUCCCUGGUGUUUGAGCGAUCCGCAGAGGAAGCACAGGCUAAUUCCGUGCCAGCCGCCGCGGUAA
RNAcentral lists this ribosomal RNA (484 nucleotides) under uncultured bacterium. RNAcentral's name for it is "partial 16S ribosomal RNA". It matches the Rfam family "Bacterial small subunit ribosomal RNA", at positions 28 to 523 of the family's 1533-position model. The record is from RNAcentral.